RNAcentral lists this long non-coding RNA (1127 nucleotides) under Crocodylus porosus (Australian saltwater crocodile). Its description in RNAcentral is "lncRNA (ENSCPRG00005005698.1)". The record is from RNAcentral. Lineage: Eukaryota; Metazoa; Chordata; Crocodylia; Crocodylidae.
AACAAGAGAAAAUAAUGGAGCCUGGAUAAAAAAAUAGUUAUUCCUAAUUGUGGAUUUUUUCAGUCAGGUAUACUUACAAGGUGACAAUAAAAUACAUAUGACAUUCUGAUUGAUCUGGAAAUACUUUUUAUGUUUUUGGGACAUGAACUACUUAGAGCCAGAUUCCUUAAGAAACUUCAUUGUUUCUGCAUAGCAUUAAUUCUUUCAUAGCAGUGUAUCUAGACCGGAGGCAUAGAAAUAUUUUAUAGAGUGCUGCUUCCUUUGUCCAUUUGCAUAUGAGUAAUAAUUACUUAGAUCGAAGUGAAAACUUCCUUUAAUGCCUGAAAAUGCUAUAUAUUCUAGUGUACUGAGUGGACCUAGAGAAUCUAAGAGUAGUUGCUGAGGGGCUUUCUGCAGGAAAUAGACUUUUGCAGAUACUGCUGCUUGUACUUCGCAUCAUCUUCUCCCAUUCAAGCACUUCUUGACCUAAGGUCAGAUGUUUAUAAGUCCUUUGAAACAGUUCUGCUCUACAUCAUAUAGCUUAUCCUCCAAAGUGGCAAGCUGCCAAGCAGAAUAUUCAGAGCUGUGGUAGGUGACAAAUAUGGGAAUUAUGCGAGUGCCUAUAUAAAAGAUUUUCAGAAAGCUGAGAUGAGACGUGUGCUUCCCAACUGAAUGGUAUGUGUUACCCAAGUCAGGAAGACUUUAAGAACAAGACUGGGCAGCUCCUGCACUUGGAUAUUCAAACAAUGGUUGCACAGGUCAUCACAAUGACUAUUUAAAUCAACCUUUUGUUAUAGACUGUAAGAAAGUAUAAGGGAAAAAAAUCUACUCUUUUCCUUCUGGGUUCUUUCCCAGUACUCAGGACCCCAGGUCACUGGACAAUGCUCUCUACUCUCCAAACCACAGGUGUGUUGGGCAACGAAAUCUGUAUUCAACCAGCAUGCUGCAAGAUAAAGAUUUAUUGUGUACAAACAAGCCAGUGGGUACGGGGCUGGUCUGACGUUGUUUAGAAGAGUGUAAAUGGCCUUUAAAUUGGUGCAAAGAAAAGAAAAAAGAAGACGACAAUGGAUUAAUCUCCUAAACUGAGGUGACUUUGCCCAGUCCAGUCUAGAAUUGCCCAUAAAAGAAUCAGAAUAAAACCACAGUGU